This 461-nucleotide ribosomal RNA is filed under the name uncultured Chlorobiota bacterium. RNAcentral describes it as "bacterial SSU rRNA". It matches the Rfam family "Bacterial small subunit ribosomal RNA", at positions 338 to 796 of the family's 1533-position model. The record is from RNAcentral. Lineage: Bacteria; Pseudomonadati; Chlorobiota.
UCUACGGAGUUCAGCAUUGGGGAAUAUUGGGCAAUGGGCGCAAGCCUGCACCAGGAACGACCCUUGGAGGAUGACGGCGGUAGGGUGGUAAAGUCCUUUUGAAGGGGACGAAAGAUUUCGAUAACACCGAAACUUGACUGUACCCUUAGAAGAAGCUCCGGCUAACUACGUGCCAGCAGCCGCGGUAAUACGUAGGGAGCAAGCGUUGUCCGGAUUUACUGGGUGUAAAGGGCGCGUAGGCGGGUUUGCGAGUCAGAGGUGAAAUCCCGCAGCUUAACUGUAGAAUUGCCUUUGAUACUGCAAAUCUUGAGUUCGGAAGAGAGAAGCGGAAUUCCAAGUGUAGUAGUGAAAUACGUAGAUAUUAGGAAGAACACCAGUGGCGAAGGCGGCUAUUUGGUCCGUAACUGACGCUGAGGCACGAAAGCGUGGGGAGCAAACAGGAUUAGAUACCCCAGUAGUCC